This 253-nucleotide ribosomal RNA is filed under the name uncultured bacterium. Its description in RNAcentral is "partial 16S ribosomal RNA". It matches the Rfam family "Bacterial small subunit ribosomal RNA", at positions 524 to 776 of the family's 1533-position model. The record is from RNAcentral.
UACGGAGGGAGCUAGCGUUGUUCGGAAUUACUGGGCGUAAAGCGCACGUAGGCGGCUUUUUAAGUCAGGGGUGAAAUCCCGGGGCGCAACCCCGGAACUGCCCUUGAAACUGGGAAGCUAGAAUCUUGGAGAGGCGAGUGGAAUUCCGAGUGUAGAGGUGAAAUUCGUAGAUAUUCGGAAGAACACCAGUGGCGAAGGCGACUCGCUGGACAAGUAUUGACGCUGAGGUGCGAAAGCGUGGGGAGCAAACAGG